GCAAAACAGUGACCAAGGAGGGACACAGAGUGAAUGGAAACUUGGAUUCAUCUCAACAUCUACACACCAGCCAGCAGAACUAGUCAGAUGCCCAGGGAUUGGACGCAAUCGAUGGUGAGUUGUGUAAAGCGGAGGGCGUCAUCGAACGUGGAGGCCUUCAGGAGGCAAUCGUCGAGGGGUUUGGAUGCCUAAGGAUCGAAGAGUGGCCCUUGAUUCCUUCAUUGAGUGAAGCACCUCAUCUGUAGUGGAAGCAAAGAGUUUGUCACCAUCAAAAGGGAGAUACUCUAUGGUGCUCUGAACCUCAUGAGGAAAGAGGGAAGAAGAGAGCCAUGAACCUCGGCGCAUGACCACCGCCGUAGCGGUGGACCUUGCUGCGGUAUUGGCUGCAUCCAGAGCUGCUUGAAGAGCCGUGCGUGAUAUGAUUUGGCCCUCGGAAACUAAAGUUGAAAACUGUUGUUUCUUCUGUUCCAGAAUGUGUUCA
Long non-coding RNA from Mauremys reevesii (Reeves's turtle), 481 nucleotides. RefSeq lists it as uncharacterized. The record is from RefSeq and is a predicted model, not a curated record. The transcript is spliced from 3 exons. Lineage: Eukaryota; Metazoa; Chordata; Testudines; Geoemydidae.